RNAcentral lists this ribosomal RNA (253 nucleotides) under uncultured bacterium. Its description in RNAcentral is "partial 16S ribosomal RNA". It matches the Rfam family "Bacterial small subunit ribosomal RNA", at positions 524 to 776 of the family's 1533-position model. The record is from RNAcentral.
CACGUAGGGCGCAAGCGUUGUCCGGAAUUAUUGGGCGUAAAGAGCUCGUAGGCGGUCUGUCGCGUCUGCUGUGAAAACUCAGGGCUUAACCCUGAGCUUGCAGUGGGUACGGGCAGACUAGAAUGCGGUAGGGGAGACUGGAAUUCCUGGUGUAGCGGUGAAAUGCGCAGAUAUCAGGAGGAACACCGGUGGCGAAGGCGGGUCUCUGGGCCGUAACUGACGCUGAGGAGCGAAAGCAUGGGGAGCGAACAGG